RNAcentral lists this long non-coding RNA (657 nucleotides) under Homo sapiens (human). Its description in RNAcentral is "HSALNT0382124". Lineage: Eukaryota; Metazoa; Chordata; Mammalia; Primates; Hominidae. The record is from RNAcentral.
UAGCAAAGUUUUCUUUGUGGUUUGCAUAGGGCUAUCAAUAUUAGACCUGCAUCUACCAGACCUCAAGGUCUUAGACAACAACAGCUGGCUGAUGGCCACCUCAGACCACGCAGAAAAGGUCUGGCAAGGCAGCUUCUGCUCCUGGGGAAAUUACAGAACGCACACUGCUCAGUGUAGUGUGGAAUUCAUCUUUCCCCCCAGGAUCCAAAUCAGGAUACCACCUUAAAUUUAACAUAAUGCCCUUAAAAAUGAAAAAGUCCGCAAGCCAUGUUAUCAUCUGGAUUUCAACAAAGAAAAGUGACUCCAGCAUGCAGAGUGGGAUCAACUUGCUCUACCAACUCUGGAUCUUCUGUCAUCUGGAAAUGACGGGGAUCUUGUACUCACGGGCAAUGCCUGCCUACUAUUAUCUUUGGAAUCAGCAUGUGAGGCCCCCUACAGUGCCUCAUCCAUCUGACUCAUGCCGAAGAUGGUCCAGGCGUCACCUGAGCUAUGCUACCUUUGGUAAAGACCCAUGCAGGCUUCUCUUUGCCCUGGAGUCACACUUUCUCCCCUAUUGACACCCCAGCCAGGAUCACACCAAUACCUCCAACAUCAAUCAGAAGUCAACAAGAAUGGAAAACAGACUAAAGUAACUUCUAUGGACAGGGCUGGGUCUAU